This is a long non-coding RNA of Pistacia vera, 131 nucleotides long. RefSeq lists it as uncharacterized. The transcript is spliced from 3 exons. The record is from RefSeq and is a predicted model, not a curated record. NCBI's taxonomy places the organism in Eukaryota, Viridiplantae, Streptophyta, Magnoliopsida, Sapindales, Anacardiaceae.
AUUAUAUUAGUUAUGAGCUUGCUGCACUUGCCAAAGAUUUAUGGUCUGGUUGCAGUACGUUUGGCAUUGGGUUGCAUCCUACUAUCUACACUGCGGUUUUUCCGUAUUCAGGUUGGAAAAAAGUUUGGACA